AGAGUUUGAUCAUGGCUCAGAUUGAACGCUGGCGGAAUGCUUUACACAUGCAAGUCGAACGGCAGCACGGACUUCGGUCUGGUGGCGAGUGGCGAACGGGUGAGUAAUAUAUCGGAACGUAUCCAAUAAUGGGGGAUAACUAAUCGAAAGGUUGGCUAAUACCGCAUACGCCCUACGGGGGAAAGCUAGGGACCUUCGGGCCUGGCGUUAAUGGAGCGGCUGAUAUCUGAUUAGCUAGUUGGUGAGGUAAAGGCUCACCAAGGCGACGAUCAGUAGCUGGUCUGAGAGGACGACCAGCCACACUGGAACUGAGACACGGUCCAGACUCCUACGGGAGGCAGCAGUGGGGAAUUUUGGACAAUGGGCGCAAGCCUGAUCCAGCCAUUCCGCGUGAGUGAAGAAGGCCUUCGGGUUGUAAAGCUCUUUCGCAAGGGAAGAAAAAUUACGCUCUAACAUAGCGUGAUGAUGACGGUACCUUGAUAAGAAGCACCGGCUAACUACGUG
This 504-nucleotide ribosomal RNA is filed under the name uncultured bacterium. RNAcentral describes it as "bacterial SSU rRNA". It matches the Rfam family "Bacterial small subunit ribosomal RNA", at positions 8 to 507 of the family's 1533-position model. The record is from RNAcentral.